RNAcentral lists this transfer RNA (74 nucleotides) under Trichoderma hamatum GD12. Its description in RNAcentral is "tRNA-Tyr (GTA) (tRNA-Tyr-GTA-4-1)". It matches the Rfam family "tRNA". Rfam says of the family: Transfer RNA (tRNA) molecules are approximately 80 nucleotides in length. Their secondary structure includes four short double-helical elements and three loops (D, anti-codon, and T loops). The record is from RNAcentral. Lineage: Eukaryota; Fungi; Ascomycota; Sordariomycetes; Hypocreales; Hypocreaceae.
CUCCGGGUGGUCUAGUUGGUUAUGACAUUCGGCUGUAAACCGAAAAGUCGGCGGUUCAAAUCCUCCCCUGGAGA